CGUCUGAUAAGAUGGACUCGGACAUCCGGAAUCAGCAACAGCUCUUCUCUGCAAAGGGAGGCCAAAACUCCCACCUCUGUAUCAUUUCGCGCACGAGAGCUGAUUGCGUCGCAAGCUCGCUUGCUGUCGAUUCCACACGCCCUUUGGUGAUACCUCUUUCCUUCAACCAGGAGAGAGCUUCUUUAAUUCCCAUUAGCUCGCCUUCUUCAACCCCACGCGAGCCCGGGAUGUUGAUGGCCUUCCCAGCAAUGAAGUUACCCCAAUGAUCACGGAUAGCAAUGCCCAAACCCAUGGAUUUAGUAUCAGCGAAGAAGGNNN
RNAcentral lists this long non-coding RNA (318 nucleotides) under Salvia miltiorrhiza (redroot sage). RNAcentral describes it as "long non-coding RNA (SMIL_LNC014364)". Lineage: Eukaryota; Viridiplantae; Streptophyta; Magnoliopsida; Lamiales; Lamiaceae. The record is from RNAcentral.